Molecule: ribosomal RNA, 596 nt
Filed under: uncultured bacterium
Lineage: Bacteria
Description: bacterial SSU rRNA
Rfam family: Bacterial small subunit ribosomal RNA (bases 1-513)
Source: RNAcentral
CCUACGGGAGGCAGCAGUGGGGAAUCUUGCGCAAUGGGCGAAAGCCUGACGCAGCCAUGCCGCGUGAAUGAUGAAGGUCUUAGGAUUGUAAAAUUCUUUCACCGGGGACGAUAAUGACGGUACCCGGAGAAGAAGCCCCGGCUAACUUCGUGCCAGCAGCCGCGGUAAUACGAAGGGGGCUAGCGUUGCUCGGAAUUACUGGGCGUAAAGGGAGCGUAGGCGGAUAGUUUAGUCAGAGGUGAAAGCCCAGGGCUCAACCUUGGAAUUGCCUUUGAUACUGGCUAUCUUGAGUAUGGGAGAGGUAUGCGGAACUCCGAGUGUAGAGGUGAAAUUCGUAGAUAUUCGGAAGAACACCAGUGGCGAAGGCGGCAUACUGGCCCAUUACUGACGCUGAGGCUCGAAAGCGUGGGGAGCAAACAGGAUUAGAUACCCUGGUAGUCCACGCUGUAAACGAUGAGUGCUAGUUGUCGGCAUGCANNNAUGUGUGCGCAGCUACGCAUAAGACACNCCGCCGUCGGGAGGUACGGUCGCGAGAGUAAACGUACGAAGAAGUAGACGGCGUGAGACGUGCCGACGGACGACGACGAGGGAGGAGG